AGAACAGAAAGCUAAGGCAAAGGAGGGAGGAUGCUGUGGUCAUCCUUUCUUGUUUUUUUCUUCUUUAAUGAGGAUAGAGCACAUGUGAGAUUUUACUUUCUACUCCAGUAAAAAUUCUGAAGAAUUGCAUUGGAGACUGUUAUAUUCAACACAUACGUGGAUUCUGUGUUAUGAUUUACAUUUUUCUUUAUUUCAGUUACAGAAUCCUCUUGGGGCUUUCUUAGAGCCAAUCUCCUCUAAGGUGAAUGCAUUUUCUUGCAUUCACCUGUCAUGAAAUGGCAGUGGGAAGCCUUGAAGAAGGCACAGGCGUUGCACUUUCUUAUGCAAGGAGCUAAACAGUGAUUAAAGGAGCAGGAUGAAAAGAUGGCACAGUCAGUGCUGGUACCGCCAGGACCUGACAGCUUCCGCUUCUUUACCAGGGAAUCCCUUGCUGCUAUUGAACAACGCAUUGCAGAAGAGAAAGCUAAGAGACCCAAACAGGAACGCAAGGAUGAGGAUGAUGAAAAUGGCCCAAAGCCAAACAGUGACUUGGAAGCAGGAAAAUCUCUUCCAUUUAUUUAUGGAGACAUUCCUCCAGAGAUGGUGUCAGUGCCCCUGGAGGAUCUGGACCCCUUCUAUAUCAAUAAGAAAACGUUUAUAGUAUUGAAUAAAGGGAAAGCAAUCUCUCGAUUCAGUGCCACCCCUGCCCUUUACAUUUUAACUCCCUUCAACCCUAUUAGAAAAUUAGCUAUUAAGAUUUUGGUACAUUCUUUAUUCAAUAUGCUCAUUAUGUGCACGAUUCUUACCAACUGUGUAUUUAUGACCAUGAGUAACCCUCCAGACUGGACAAAGAAUGUGGAGUAUACCUUUACAGGAAUUUAUACUUUUGAAUCACUUAUUAAAAUACUUGCAAGGGGCUUUUGUUUAGAAGAUUUCACAUUUUUACGGGAUCCAUGGAAUUGGUUGGAUUUCACAGUCAUUACUUUUGCAUAUGUGACAGAGUUUGUGGACCUGGGCAAUGUCUCAGCGUUGAGAACAUUCAGAGUUCUCCGAGCAUUGAAAACAAUUUCAGUCAUUCCAGGCCUGAAGACCAUUGUGGGGGCCCUGAUCCAGUCAGUGAAGAAGCUUUCUGAUGUCAUGAUCUUGACUGUGUUCUGUCUAAGCGUGUUUGCGCUAAUAGGAUUGCAGUUGUUCAUGGGCAACCUACGAAAUAAAUGUUUGCAAUGGCCUCCAGAUAAUUCUUCCUUUGAAAUAAAUAUCACUUCCUUCUUUAACAAUUCAUUGGAUGGGAAUGGUACUACUUUCAAUAGGACAGUGAGCAUAUUUAACUGGGAUGAAUAUAUUGAGGAUAAAAGUCACUUUUAUUUUUUAGAGGGGCAAAAUGAUGCUCUGCUUUGUGGCAACAGCUCAGAUGCAGGCCAGUGUCCUGAAGGAUACAUCUGUGUGAAGGCUGGUAGAAACCCCAACUAUGGCUACACGAGCUUUGACACCUUUAGUUGGGCCUUUUUGUCCUUAUUUCGUCUCAUGACUCAAGACUUCUGGGAAAACCUUUAUCAACUGACACUACGUGCUGCUGGGAAAACGUACAUGAUAUUUUUUGUGCUGGUCAUUUUCUUGGGCUCAUUCUAUCUAAUAAAUUUGAUCUUGGCUGUGGUGGCCAUGGCCUAUGAGGAACAGAAUCAGGCCACAUUGGAAGAGGCUGAACAGAAGGAAGCUGAAUUUCAGCAGAUGCUCGAACAGUUGAAAAAGCAACAAGAAGAAGCUCAGGCGGCAGCUGCAGCCGCAUCUGCUGAAUCAAGAGACUUCAGUGGUGCUGGUGGGAUAGGAGUUUUUUCAGAGAGUUCUUCAGUAGCAUCUAAGUUGAGCUCCAAAAGUGAAAAAGAGCUGAAAAACAGAAGAAAGAAAAAGAAACAGAAAGAACAGUCUGGAGAAGAAGAGAAAAAUGACAGAGUCCGAAAAUCGGAAUCUGAAGACAGCAUAAGAAGAAAAGGUUUCCGUUUUUCCUUGGAAGGAAGUAGGCUGACAUAUGAAAAGAGAUUUUCUUCUCCACACCAGUCCUUACUGAGCAUCCGUGGCUCCCUUUUCUCUCCAAGACGCAACAGUAGGGCGAGCCUUUUCAGCUUCAGAGGUCGAGCAAAGGACAUUGGCUCUGAGAAUGACUUUGCUGAUGAUGAGCACAGCACCUUUGAGGACAAUGACAGCCGAAGAGACUCUCUGUUCGUGCCGCACAGACAUGGAGAACGGCGCCACAGCAAUGUCAGCCAGGCCAGCCGUGCCUCCAGGGUGCUCCCCAUCCUGCCCAUGAAUGGGAAGAUGCAUAGCGCUGUGGACUGCAAUGGUGUGGUCUCCCUGGUCGGGGGCCCUUCUACCCUCACAUCUGCUGGGCAGCUUCUACCAGAGGGCACAACUACUGAAACAGAAAUAAGAAAGAGACGGUCCAGUUCUUAUCAUGUUUCCAUGGAUUUAUUGGAAGAUCCUACAUCAAGGCAAAGAGCAAUGAGUAUAGCCAGUAUUUUGACCAACACCAUGGAAGAUUUUUUUUUUUAUAUUUAGCCUCCAGAAAGCUGCUGCAAAUGUAAGGUAUAUUUUGAACACCACUUUCAUACAUUAAAUUCUAAACAUUGAAACUUGUGUGCAUGACGUUGAAAAGAGUGUAAUGAUAAAUGCUUAUACUUAUGAUGAUGCUAAGCCAUUUGGAUUAUAUUAACUGCUUGAGACACAAGUUAUAAAAUCCUAUGACUUAACCAGAAAUAUAAAUUAAAAAUGUGAAUUAGGGUUUGAUAUUAACUUCCUUGAAGCAAAGUGUUUAAAAUUUUGUAGUCCUACUUUUGCCUUUCUCUGACCAGAUUCUUACAAUAUAUCAGCUUUCUCUUUAGUUGCAGAUUUUAUCUGAAUAGUUAACAUAAUGUUUAGCAGUCUGGAUCUCAGAAUGCCAAAAUAAAGACUUUGGGGACAGCUUAAUCUGUGAUCAAUUUCUGGCUCUGCCAUAUGUUAAAUGUGUUAAUUUGUGACUUUGAAUUUCAGUCUCCUCAUCAGUAAAAUGUGGAUGAUGAUGUUUAGGCAUAAGGUUGUUGAAUGGAUUAAAUAAGCCUUCUUAGAUAAAACACUGAUGUAUUUGGCAUGCAGAAGACAGUUAAUA
RNAcentral lists this small RNA (3118 nucleotides) under Pan troglodytes (chimpanzee). Its description in RNAcentral is "processed transcript". The record is from RNAcentral. Lineage: Eukaryota; Metazoa; Chordata; Mammalia; Primates; Hominidae.